AGGGAAACAACGCUGAGAGAUGAGAGCAAAUAGCUGGAGGAGAAGCAAGUAAAAAUAGACACUUAACAGGAAGAGAAAUGUAUGUUUUGGCUGAAGGCAAGCAGACCUGCUUUCAGGUGUGCCACAACUGAGCCUCCGUAUCGUGUCUGCCUGACUGCAUUCUGCAGCUGCUCUUGGUUCCUAAGAGGAAAGAGUGUAACAAAUGAGGGUCCGGCCCAGGUCUUCAGAUGCCACCAACCCUGGUGGAGAAAUUGCAUUUGCUUGGUGAAUGUUCCAGUCUGUUCCUACUAAAGAGCAAGAAAUCGCAGCUCUGGAAACUCUGGGAGGGAUCCAUGGAGUCCUGGCUGUACAUCCUAGAAGUUCUACGUUGUUUAUAGCUAUUUCUUUUUUUUUAAGUUUCUUAUGUUAACCUUUGGGAUAUCUGGGACAUAUGGAUUGGUGCACUGAAGCACAUUUUUAAGAACUGAAAUAAAGGAUUUCUUUUUUUUUUUUUGUCAGUUUUCACUUUAUUUUGUAACCUCUGCUGUAUGCAGAA
RNAcentral lists this long non-coding RNA (535 nucleotides) under Gallus gallus (chicken). RNAcentral's name for it is "lncRNA (ENSGALG00010007417.1)". Lineage: Eukaryota; Metazoa; Chordata; Aves; Galliformes; Phasianidae. The record is from RNAcentral.